This 783-nucleotide non-coding RNA is filed under the name Hydrotaea dentipes. Lineage: Eukaryota; Metazoa; Arthropoda; Insecta; Diptera; Muscidae. The record is from RNAcentral.
UAAAAGUUUGAUUUUAGCUUAUUAAUUCAUUAUUAAUUUAAUUUACAUGUAAAUUUUUGUAUGAAUUUUUAUUUAUUUAAAUAAUGAAUAAAAUUUUUGUAUUCGCAGUAAUUAAUAUUAUAAAUUAAAGAAAUUUAGAAAUAGUAAUAUUAAAAAGUAUUGGCUAAAUUUGUGCCAGCAGUCGCGGUUAUACUAAUAAUACAAAUGAAUUUUUUUAAUUAAAGUUAAAUUGUUUAUAUUUAAAAUUAAAAUAAAUUUAUUAGGUGAAAUUUUAAAUUUUUAAUAUUUUUAAUAAAAUAAUUAAAGCUUGAAAAUUUUAAUAAUAAACUAGGAUUAGAUACCCUAUUAUUUAAAAUGUAAAUUUAUAAAAUUAAAGUAGUAAUAGUUAUGUUCUUGAAACUUAAAAAAUUUGGCGGUAUUUUAGUCUAUUCAGAGGAACCUGUUCUAUAAUCGAUAUUCCACGAUGAACCUUACUUAAAUUUGUAUUCAGUUUAUAUACCGUCGUUAUUAGAAUAUUUUAUAAGAAUGUUAAUUUUCAUAAUUUUAAAAAAGAAAAUAUAUCAGAUCAAGGUGUAGCUAAUAUUUAAGUAGAAAUGGGUUACAAUAAAUUUAUUUAAACGGAUUUAAAUAUGAAAAAUUUUUUAAAGGUGGAUUUGAUAGUAAAAUUAUAAAGAUUAAUAAUUUGAUUUUAGCUCUAAAAUAUGUACACAUCGCCCGUCACUCUUAUUAUUAAGGUAAGAUAAGUCGUAACAUAGUAGAUGUACCGGAAGGUGUAUCUAGAAU